UACGAAGGGGGGCUAGCGUUGUUCGGAUUUACUGGGCGUAAAGCGCGCGCAGGCGGUCUUCCAAGUCAGUGGUGAAAGCCCGGAGCUCAACUCCGGAACUGCCAUUGAAACUGUUAGACUUGAGGAUGAGAGAGGUGAGUGGAAUUCCCAGUGUAGAGGUGAAAUUCGUAGAUAUUGGGAAGAACACCGGUGGCGAAGGCGGCUCACUGGCUCAUUUCUGACGCUCAGGCGCGACAGCGUGGGGGAUCAAAACAGG
RNAcentral lists this ribosomal RNA (256 nucleotides) under uncultured bacterium. RNAcentral describes it as "partial 16S ribosomal RNA". It matches the Rfam family "Bacterial small subunit ribosomal RNA", at positions 524 to 776 of the family's 1533-position model. The record is from RNAcentral.